RNAcentral lists this ribosomal RNA (465 nucleotides) under uncultured bacterium. Its description in RNAcentral is "partial 16S ribosomal RNA". It matches the Rfam family "Bacterial small subunit ribosomal RNA", at positions 338 to 795 of the family's 1533-position model. The record is from RNAcentral.
CCUACGGGAGGCAGCAGUGGGGAAUAUUGCGCAAUGGGCGAAAGCCUGACGCAGCGACGCCGCGUGAGGGAUGAAGGUCUUCGGAUCGUAAACCUCUGUCAGCAGGGAAGAACGGUCACUGUGCUAAUCAGCCGUGAAUUGACGGUACCUGCAAAGGAAGCACCGGCUAACUCCGUGCCAGCAGCCGCGGUAAUACUGAGGGUGCGAGCGUUAAUCGGAAUUACUGGGCGUAAAGCGCUCGUAGGCGGUAUGUCAAGUCAAGGGUGAAAUCCCCGCGCUCAACGUGGGAACUGCCUUUGAAACUGGCAAACUGGAGUGUAGGAGAGGAUAGUGGAAUUCCAGGGGUAGGAGUGAAAUCCGUAGAUAUCUGGAGGAACAUCAGUGGCGAAGGCGACUAUCUGGCACAUAACUGACGCUGAGGAGCGAAAGCGUGGGUAGCAAACAGGAUUAGAUACCCCUGUAGUC